GAGUUUGAUCAUGGCUCAGGACGAACGCUGGCGGCGUGCUUAACACAUGCAAGUCGAACGGAAAGGCCCGCAUCAUUUUUUUGGUGGGGGUGCUCGAGUGGCGAACGGGUGAGUAACACGUGGGUGAUCUGCCCUGUACUUCGGGAUAAGCUUGGGAAACUGGGUCUAAUACCGGAUAGGACCAUGGUUUAGUGUCUCAUGGUGGAAAGAUUAUUGUUUUGGUGCAGGAUGAGCUCGCGGCCUAUCAGCUUGUUGGUGGGGUAAUGGCCUACCAAGGCGUCGACGGGUAGCCGGCCUGAGAGGGUGGACGGCCACAUUGGGACUGAGAUACGGCCCAGACUCCUACGGGAGGCAGCAGUGGGGAAUAUUGCACAAUGGGCGCAAGCCUGAUGCAGCGACGCCGCGUGGGGGAUGACGGCCUUCGGGUUGUAAACUCCUUUCGUUAGGGACGAGGCCGCACUUUUUUUGGGUGUGGUGACGGUACCUUUGUUAAGAAGCACCGGCUAACUACGUGCCAGCAGCCGCGGUAAUACGUAGGGUGCGAGCGUUGUCCGGAAUUACUGGGCGUAAAGAGCUCGUAGGUGGUUUGUUGCGUCGUCUGUGAAAUUCCGGGGCUUAACUUCGGGGUGGCAGGCGAUACGGGCAUAACUAGAGUGCUGUAGGGGAGACUGGAAUUCCUGGUGUAGCGGUGAAAUGCGCAGAUAUCAGGAGGAACACCGAUGGCGAAGGCAGGUCUCUGGGCAGUAACUGACGCUGAGGAGCGAAAGCAUGGGGAGCGAACAGGAUUAGAUACCCUGGUAGUCCAUGCUGUAAACGGUGGGCGUUAGGUGUGGGGACCGGUUUGGUUUCUGUGCCGUAGCUAACGCAUUAAGCGCCCCGCCUGGGGAGUACGGCCGCAAGGCUAAAACUCAAAGGAAUUGACGGGGGCCCGCACAAGCGGCGGAGCAUGUGGAUUAAUUCGAUGCAACGCGAAGAACCUUACCUGGGUUUGACAUGCACCAGACGGUUGUAGAGAUACGUACCUCCCUUUGUGGUUGGUGUGCAGGUGGUGCAUGGUUGUCGUCAGCUCGUGUCGUGAGAUGUUGGGUUAAGUCCCGCAACGAGCGCAACCCUUGUCUUAUGUUGCCAGCACGUUUGGGUGGGGACUCAUGAGAGACUGCCGGGGUUAACUCGGAGGAAGGUGGGGAUGACGUCAAAUCAUCAUGCCCUUUAUGCCCAGGGCUUCACACAUGCUACAAUGGUUAGUACAACGCGCUGCGAGCCUGUGAGGGUGAGCGAAUCGCUGAAAGCUAAUCUCAGUUCGGAUUGGGGUCUGCAACUCGACCCCAUGAAGUCGGAGUCGCUAGUAAUCGCAGAUCAGCAAUGCUGCGGUGAAUACGUUCCCGGGCCUUGCACACACCGCCCGUC
RNAcentral lists this ribosomal RNA (1407 nucleotides) under uncultured bacterium. RNAcentral describes it as "bacterial SSU rRNA". It matches the Rfam family "Bacterial small subunit ribosomal RNA". The record is from RNAcentral.